This 3964-nucleotide long non-coding RNA is filed under the name Chlamydomonas reinhardtii. RNAcentral describes it as "long non-coding RNA (CREI_LNC001136)". The record is from RNAcentral. Lineage: Eukaryota; Viridiplantae; Chlorophyta; Chlorophyceae; Chlamydomonadales; Chlamydomonadaceae.
GGCUGGGAGGCGCAGGCGACGGCGGGGGCACACCCGGCGCGGGGCUGGGCGGCUCCGGCGAAGGCGGCGGAGUACCAGGCGCAGGGCUGGGAGGGGCAGGCGACGGCGGGGGCACACCCGGCGCGGGGCUGGGCGGCUCCGGCGAAGGCGGCGGCGUGCCAGGCGCAGGGCUGGGAGGCGCAGGGCGACGGCGGGGGCACACCCGGCGCGGGGCUGGGCGGCUCCGGCGAAGGCGGCGGCGUGCCAGGCGCAGGGCUGGGAGGCGCAGGCGACGGCGGGGGCACACCCGGCGCGGGGCUGGGCGGCUCCGGCGAAGGUGGCGGCGUGCCAGGCGCAGGGCUGGGAGGCGCAGGCGACGGCGGGGGCACACCCGGACCGGGGCUGGGCGGCUCCGGCGAAGGCGGCGGCGUGCCAGGCGCAGGGCUGGGAGGCGCAGGCGACGGCGGGGGCACACCCGGCGCGGGGCUGGGCGGCUCCGGCGAAGGCGGCGGCGUGCCAGGCGCAGGGCUGGGAGGUGCAGGCGACGGCGGGGGCACACCCGGCGCGGGGCUGGGCGGCUCCGGCGAAGGCGGUGGCGUGCCAGGCGCAGGGCUGGGAGGCGCAGGCGACGGCGGGGGCACACCCGGCGCGGGGCUAGGCGGCUCUGGCGAAGGCGGCGCAGGGCUGGGAGGCGCAGGGCUGGGAGGCGCAGGCGACGGCGGGGGCACACCCGGUGCGGGGCUGGGCGGCUCCGGCGAAGGCGGCGGAGUACCAGGCGCAGGGCUGGGAGGCGCAGGCGACGGCGGGGGCACGCCCGGACCGGGGCUGGGCGGCUCCGGCGAAGGUGGCGGCGCACCAGGCGCGGGGCUGGGAGGCGCAGGCGACGGCGGGGGCACGCCCGGCGCGGGGCUGGGCGGCUCCGGCGAAGGAGGCGGCGUGCCAGGCGCAGGGCUGGGAGGCGCAGGCGACGGCGGGGGCACACCCGGUCCGGGGCUGGGCGGCUCCGGCGAAGGCGGCGGCGUGCCAGGCGCAGGGCUGGGAGGCGCAGGCGACGGCGGGGGCACACCCGGCGCGGGGCUGGGCGGCUCCGGCGAAGGCGGCGGCGUGCCAGGCGCAGGGCUGGGAGGCGCAGGCGACGGCGGGGGCACACCCGGCGCGGGGCUGGGCGGCUCCGGCGAAGGCGGCGGCGUGCCAGGCGCAGGGCUGGGAGGCGCAGGCGACGGCGGGGGCACACCCGGCGCGGGGCUGGGCGGCUCCGGCGAAGGCGGUGGCGUGCCAGGCGCAGGGCUGGGAGGCGCAGGCGACGGCGGGGGCACACCCGGCGCGGGGCUAGGCGGCUCUGGCGAAGGCGGCGGCGUACCAGGCGCAGGGCUGGGAGGCGCAGGCGACGGCGGGGGCACACCCGGACCGGGGCUGGGCGGCUCCGGCGAAGGUGGCGGCGUGCCAGGCGCGGGGCUGGGAGGCGCAGGCGACGGCGGGGGCACACCCGGCGCGGGGCUGGGCGGCUCCGGCGAAGGCGGCGCAGGGCUGGGAGGCGCAGGGCUGGGAGGCGCAGGCGACGGCGGGGGCACACCCGGCGCAGGGCUGGGCGGCUCCGGCGAAGGCGGUGGCGUGCCAGGCGCAGGGCUGGGAGGCGCAGGCGACGGCGGGGGCACACCCGGCGCGGGGCUAGGCGGCUCUGGCGAAGGCGGCGCAGGGCUGGGAGGCGCAGGGCUGGGAGGCGCAGGCGACGGCGGGGGCACACCAGGUCCGGGGCUGGGCGGCUCCGGCGAAGGCGGCGGCGUGCCAGGCGCAGGGCUGGGAGGCGCAGGCGACGGAGGGGGCACACCCGGCGCGGGGCUGGGCGGCUCCGGCGAAGGCGGCGGCGUGCCAGGCGCAGGGCUGGGAGGCGCAGGCGACGGAGGGGGCACACCCGGCGCGGGGCUGGGCGGCUCCGGCGAAGGCGGCGGCGUGCCAGGCGCAGGGCUGGGAGGCGCAGGCGACGGCGGGGGCACACCCGGACCGGGGCUGGGCGGCUCCGGCGAAGGCGGCGGCGUGCCAGGCGCAGGGCUGGGAGGCGCAGGCGACGGCGGGGGCACACCCGGCGCGGGGCUAGGCGGCUCUGGCGAAGGCGGCGCAGGGCUGGGAGGCGCAGGGCUGGGAGGCGCAGGCGACGGCGGGGGCACACCCGGCGCGGGGCUGGGCGGCUCCGGCGAAGGAGGCGGCGUGCCAGGCGCAGGGCUGGGAGGCGCAGGCGACGGAGGGGGCACACCCGGCGCGGGGCUGGGCGGCUCCGGCGAAGGCGGCGGCGCGCCAGGCGCAGGGCUAGGAGGCGCAGGCGACGGCGGGGGCACACCCGGCGCAGGGCUGGGCGGCUCUGGCGAAGGAGGCGGCGUGCCAGGCGCAGGGCUGGGAGGCGCAGGCGACGGAGGGGGCACACCCGGCGCGGGGCUGGGCGGCUCCGGCGAAGGCGGCGGCGCGCCAGGCGCAGGGCUAGGAGGCGCAGGCGACGGCGGGGGCACACCCGGCGCGGGGCUGGGCGGCUCCGGCGAAGGCGGCGGCGUGCCAGGCGCAGGGCUGGGAGGCGCAGGCGACGGCGGGGGCACACCAGGUCCGGGGCUAGGCGGCUCUGGCGAAGGCGGCGGCGUGCCAGGCGCAGGGCUGGGAGGCGCAGGCGACGGAGGGGGCACACCCGGCGCGGGGCUGGGCGGCUCCGGCGAAGGCGGCGGCGUGCCAGGCGCAGGGCUGGGAGGCGCAGGCGACGGCGGGGGCACACCCGGCGCGGGGCUGGGCGGCUCCGGCGAAGGCGGCGGCGUGCCAGGCGCAGGGCUGGGAGGCGCAGGCGACGGCGGGGGCACACCCGGCGCGGGGCUAGGCGGCUCCGGCGAAGGCGGCGGAGUACCAGGCGCAGGGCUGGGAGGCGCAGGCGACGGCGGGGGCACACCAGGUCCGGGGCUGGGCGGCUCCGGCGAAGGAGGCGGCGUGCCAGGCGCAGGGCUGGGAGGCGCAGGCGACGGAGGGGGCACACCCGGCGCGGGGCUGGGCGGCUCCGGCGAAGGCGGCGGCGCGCCAGGCGCAGGGCUAGGAGGCGCAGGCGACGGCGGGGGCACACCCGGCGCAGGGCUGGGCGGCUCCGGCGAAGGAGGCGGCGUGCCAGGCGCAGGGCUGGGAGGCGCAGGCGACGGCGGGGGCACACCCGGCGCGGGGCUAGGCGGCUCUGGCGAAGGCGGCGCAGGGCUGGGAGGCGCAGGGCUGGGAGGCGCAGGCGACGGCGGGGGCACACCCGGCGCGGGGCUGGGCGGCUCCGGCGAAGGCGGCGGCGUGCCAGGCGCAGGGCUGGGAGGCGCAGGCGACGGCGGGGGCACACCCGGCGCAGGGCUGGGCGGCUCCGGCGAAGGCGGCGGCGUGCCAGGCGCAGGGCUGGGAGGCGCAGGCGACGGAGGGGGCACACCCGGCGCGGGGCUAGGCGGCUCCGGCGAAGGCGGCGGCGUGCCAGGCGCAGGGCUGGGAGGCGCAGGCGACGGCGGGGGCACACCCGGCGCGGGGCUGGGCGGCUCCGGCGAAGGCGGCGGCGUGCCAGGCGCAGGGCUGGGAGGCGCAGGCGACGGCGGGGGCACACCCGGCGCGGGGCUGGGCGGCUCCGGCGAAGGUGGCGGAGUACCAGGCGCAGGGCUGGGAGGCGCAGGCGACGGCGGGGGCACACCCGGCGCAGGGCUGGGCGGCUCCGGCGAAGGCGGCGGCGUGCCAGGCGCAGGGCUAGGAGGCGCAGGCGACGGAGGGGGCACACCCGGCGCGGGGCUAGGCGGCUCCGGCGAAGGUGGCGGCGUACCAGGCGCAGGGCUGGGAGGCGCAGGCGACGGCGGGGGCACACCCGGCGCGGGGCUGGGCGGCUGCGGCGAAGGUGGCGGCGUACCAGGCGCAGGGCUGGGAGGCGCAGGCGACGGCGGGGGCACACCCGGCGCGGGGCUAGGCGGCUCCGGCGAAGGCGGCGGAGUACCAGGCGCAG